Molecule: small nucleolar RNA, 129 nt
Organism: Nycticebus coucang (slow loris)
Lineage: Eukaryota; Metazoa; Chordata; Mammalia; Primates; Lorisidae
Product: small nucleolar RNA SNORA69
Exons: 1
Source: RefSeq, a predicted model, not a curated record
UAAAUAAAAUAAAAAUAAAAUUAACUCUGUGGAAGUAUUACCAUUAUCCUGCUGAAAGAAAAGCCAUGUUAAUCAUUUCCGAUUUUGCCUUUAUGGGGGUAAAAUCCUAACAGAUUGACAGGGACAAUU